UGCAAGUCGAACGGUGAAGCCAAGCUUGCUUGGUGGAUCAGUGGCGAACGGGUGAGUAACACGUGAGCAACCUGCCCUGGACUCUGGGAUAAGCGCUGGAAACGGCGUCUAAUACUGGAUAUGAGACGUGAUCGCAUGGUCGUGUUUGGAAAGAUUUUUCGGUCUGGGAUGGGCUCGCGGCCUAUCAGCUUGUUGGUGAGGUAAUGGCUCACCAAGGCGUCGACGGGUAGCCGGCCUGAGAGGGUGACCGGCCACACUGGGACUGAGACACGGCCCAGACUCCUACGGGAGGCAGCAGUGGGGAAUAUUGCACAAUGGGCGAAAGCCUGAUGCAGCAACGCCGCGUGAGGGAUGACGGCCUUCGGGUUGUAAACCUCUUUUAGCAGGGAAGAAGCGAAAGUGACGGUACCUGCAGAAAAAGCGCCGGCUAACUACGUGCCAGCAGCCGCGGUAAUACGUAGGGCGCAAGCGUUAUCCGGAAUUAUUGGGCGUAAAGAGCUCGUAGGCGGUUUGUCGCGUCUGCUGUGAAAUCCCGAGGCUCAACCUCGGGCCUGCAGUGGGUACGGGCAGACUAGAGUGCGGUAGGGGAGAUUGGAAUUCCUGGUGUAGCGGUGGAAUGCGCAGAUAUCAGGAGGAACACCGAUGGCGAAGGCAGAUCUCUGGGCCGUAACUGACGCUGAGGAGCGAAAGGGUGGGGAGCAAACAGGCUUAGAUACCCUGGUAGUCCACCCCGUAAACGUUGGGAACUAGUUGUGGGGACCAUUCCACGGUUUCCGUGACGCAGCUAACGCAUUAAGUUCCCCGCCUGGGGAGUACGGCCGCAAGGCUAAAACUCAAAGGAAUUGACGGGGACCCGCACAAGCGGCGGAGCAUGCGGAUUAAUUCGAUGCAACGCGAAGAACCUUACCAAGGCUUGACAUAUACGAGAACGGGCCAGAAAUGGUCAACUCUUUGGACACUCGUAAACAGGUGGUGCAUGGUUGUCGUCAGCUCGUGUCGUGAGAUGUUGGGUUAAGUCCCGCAACGAGCGCAACCCUCGUUCUAUGUUGCCAGCACGUAAUGGUGGGAACUCAUGGGAUACUGCCGGGGUCAACUCGGAGGAAGGUGGGGAUGACGUCAAAUCAUCAUGCCCCUUAUGUCUUGGGCUUCACGCAUGCUACAAUGGCCGGUACAAAGGGCUGCAAUACCGUGAGGUGGAGCGAAUCCCAAAAAGCCGGUCCCAGUUCGGAUUGAGGUCUGCAACUCGACCUCAUGAAGUCGGAGUCGCUAGUAAUCGCAGAUCAGCAACGCUGCGGUGAAUACGUUCCCGGGUCUUGUACACACCGCCCGUCAAGUCAUGAAAGUCGGUAACACCUGAAGCCGGUGGCCCAACCCUUGUGGAGGAGCCGUCGA
RNAcentral lists this ribosomal RNA (1392 nucleotides) under Microbacterium sp. Its description in RNAcentral is "bacterial SSU rRNA". It matches the Rfam family "Bacterial small subunit ribosomal RNA". Lineage: Bacteria; Bacillati; Actinomycetota; Actinomycetes; Micrococcales; Microbacteriaceae. The record is from RNAcentral.